UACGUAGGUGGCAAGCGUUACUCGGAUUCACUAGGCGUAAAGCGCAGGUAGGCGGCUCGAUAAGUCUUUUGUAAAAGCUCCCGGCUUAACUGGGAGAGGUCAAGGGAAACUAUCGGGCUAGAGUGUGGUAGGGGGUACUGGAAUUCCUGGUGUAGCGGUGAAAUGCGUAGAUAUCAGGAGGAAUACCUAUGGCGAAAGCAGGUACCUGGGCCAUCACUGACGCUGAGCUGCGAAAGCUAGGGGAG
Molecule: ribosomal RNA, 245 nt
Filed under: uncultured bacterium
Lineage: Bacteria
Description: partial 16S ribosomal RNA
Rfam family: Bacterial small subunit ribosomal RNA
Source: RNAcentral